RNAcentral lists this ribosomal RNA (465 nucleotides) under uncultured bacterium. Its description in RNAcentral is "partial 16S ribosomal RNA". It matches the Rfam family "Bacterial small subunit ribosomal RNA", at positions 338 to 795 of the family's 1533-position model. The record is from RNAcentral.
CCUACGGGGGGCAGCAGUGGGGAAUAUUGCGCAAUGGGCGAAAGCCUGACGCAGCGACGCCGCGUGAGGGAUGAAGGUCUUCGGAUCGUAAACCUCUGUUAGCAGGGAAGAACGGUCACUGUGCUAAUCAGCAGUGAAUUGACGGUACCUGCAAAGGAAGCACCGGCUAACUCCGUGCCAGCAGCCGCGGUAAUACGGAGGGGGCGAGCGUUAAUCGGAAUUAUUGGGCGUAAAGCGCUCGUAGGCGGUAUGUCAAGUCAAGGGUGAAAUCCCCGCGCUCAACGUGGGAACUGCCUUUGAAACUGGCAACCUGGAGUGUGUGAGAGGAUAGUGGAAUUCCAGGUGUAGGAGUGAAAUCCGUAGAUAUCUGGAGGAACAUCAGUGGCGAAGGCGACUAUCUGGCACAUGACUGACGCUGAGGAGCGAAAGCGUGGGUAGCAAACAGGAUUAGAUACCCCAGUAGUC